RNAcentral lists this ribosomal RNA (465 nucleotides) under uncultured bacterium. RNAcentral describes it as "partial 16S ribosomal RNA". It matches the Rfam family "Bacterial small subunit ribosomal RNA", at positions 28 to 507 of the family's 1533-position model. The record is from RNAcentral.
GACGAACGCUGGCGGCGUGCUUAACACAUGCAAGUCGAACGGAAAGGCCCUGCUUGCAGGGUACUCGAGUGGCGAACGGGUGAGUAACACGUGGGUGAUCUGCCCUGCACUUCGGGAUAAGCCUGGGAAACUGGGUCUAAUACCGGAUAGGAGCCAUUUUUAGUGUGAUGGUUGGAAAGUUUUUUCGGUGUAGGAUGAGCUCGCGGCCUAUCAGCUUGUUGGUGGGGUAAUGGCCUACCAAGGCGGCGACGGGUAGCCGGCCUGAGAGGGUGGACGGCCACAUUGGGACUGAGAUACGGCCCAGACUCCUACGGGAGGCAGCAGUGGGGAAUAUUGCACAAUGGGCGCAAGCCUGAUGCAGCGACGCCGCGUGGGGGAUGACGGCCUUCGGGUUGUAAACUCCUUUCGCUAGGGACGAAGCGUUUUGUGACGGUACCUAGAUAAGAAGCACCGGCUAACUACGUG